GGGGAUUUAGCUCAGUGGUAGAGCGCUUGCCUAGCAAGCGCAAGGCCUGCGUUCAGUCCCCA
This 62-nucleotide transfer RNA is filed under the name Rattus norvegicus (Norway rat). It matches the Rfam family "tRNA". From Rfam's summary of the family: Transfer RNA (tRNA) molecules are approximately 80 nucleotides in length. Their secondary structure includes four short double-helical elements and three loops (D, anti-codon, and T loops). Lineage: Eukaryota; Metazoa; Chordata; Mammalia; Rodentia; Muridae. The record is from Rfam by way of RNAcentral.